Molecule: long non-coding RNA, 1047 nt
Filed under: Ursus maritimus (polar bear)
Lineage: Eukaryota; Metazoa; Chordata; Mammalia; Carnivora; Ursidae
Description: lncRNA (ENSUMAG00000015819.1)
Source: RNAcentral
GUGAUUUGCUGCAGAGAGGGGACACAAAACUCAGGGCCCCGAGCAAUUGGUGGGAAACUAGAUCUCAAAGCAGAAAAUGAAAAGUCGAUCUGGGGGAAGAUUUUUAAAUAAGUGGGUCAGAGGGACGGAGAGGAGAUGAGGCGAUCAAUCUUAGCCCCCUGACAGCUCCCUCCGAGGGCAUCAAAGAAUUCGGCUCUUUGGGAAAGCAGAGGGAACAGCCGAAAUUCCACAUCCCUUUAAAAGGCCUGGGGGUGGGGGUGAUAGCAAAAGAGAAAGGUGAUUCCGGGAGAGUGGGGAAACAGAUGGGAAAUGGGGACAGAGGGAAGGACGCUGAGUUGGGUGGAAAGUUUGGAGAACUCCCACGGCUCUGGCCUCCCCUCCCCCUCCUCCUCUCCACCGCCCGGCAAGGAGGAGAAGGCUGGUUAGCAGAGAAAUGGCAACUCAGCCGGGAGCUGGAACUAGAACCUUUCUGUCAAUGUAACAGCCGCGUGGGUGGCGGAGAAUUGCAAAGGGAAAAAAAAUCAAGAUUUGGAGGAAUUACCCACAGAGAUGGAAGUCCGAGGGUGGCUGAUUGCUCUGUUCCCUUUGAUUUCUCCAAAAGAAGCAAAGAAGAGAGAAACUGGAUAACUGCUGGACUUUUCUACCAAGAGAUUCGAAAGUGCUUCCUGAAUGAGAACAUCUUUUCCCAGGGCAAAAAAGAAAGUCAACAGAGCAAUCAGAACAAUAUUAUUCUCUGGGUUGGAAACAGGGUACCUUGUUUACUGAAGUUUUCCAAGGCAAAAAAAAAAAAAAUCAUUGUUUUAAUGCAGACUCUUCAAACUGCAGAAAAAAUAAAUCUUCAAGCUGUCAUAGGAUUUUGUGUAUUUCUUCUAAAACUUCUGACUGCAUUUUUUUUUCUCCCUGUCUUCCCGCAUCUCUCACCAUCGCAUUUCAUAAAACCUCCAGAGUGACCCUGUCUUCUGACAUGUGAGUUUGGACUACUUAAAUCUCAUUCAGCCCAGCUGGUCAACUCCAAAGAAAACUAAAAAUAGGAAAAUAAAAUAAAAG